GUGGGGAAUAUUGGACAAUGGGCGAAAGCCUGAUCCAGCCAUGCCGCGUGUGUGAAGAAGGUCUUCGGAUUGUAAAGCACUUUAAGUUGGGAGGAAGGGCAGUAAGUUAAUACCUUGCUGUUUUGACGUUACCGACAGAAUAAGCACCGGCUAACUUCGUGCCAGCAGCCGCGGUAAUACGAAGGGUGCAAGCGUUAAUCGGAAUUACUGGGCGUAAAGCGCGCGUAGGUGGUUUUGUAAGUUGGAGGUUGAAUCCCCGGGCUCAACCUGAGAACUGCCUCCAAAACUGCAUGACUAGAGUACGGUAGAGGGUAGUGGAAUUUCCUGUGUAGCGGUGAAAUGCGUAGAUAUAGGAAGGAACACCAGUGGCGAAGGCGACUACCUGGACUGAUACUGACACUGAGGUGCGAAAGCGUGGGGAGCAAACAGGAUUAGAAACCCGAGUAGUCC
RNAcentral lists this ribosomal RNA (450 nucleotides) under uncultured bacterium. Its description in RNAcentral is "partial 16S ribosomal RNA". It matches the Rfam family "Bacterial small subunit ribosomal RNA", at positions 354 to 796 of the family's 1533-position model. The record is from RNAcentral.